This is a long non-coding RNA of Eleginops maclovinus (Patagonian blennie), 649 nucleotides long. RefSeq lists it as uncharacterized. The record is from RefSeq and is a predicted model, not a curated record. The transcript is spliced from 3 exons. Lineage: Eukaryota; Metazoa; Chordata; Actinopteri; Perciformes; Eleginopidae.
AGGUAUCUCAGGUUGACAGCAGUGAUCGUGUUCAGGGAUAAAUCACUUGCACACCCGCUCUCUAAACGACAGGUGUCGAGAUCAGCCUCUAAGGUCUAUGCCUGUAGGAUCAGUGUGUACCUCACCUAUAUGGUCCCUUCAAGUUACUGCCAACAGCUUCUACAGAGGGCAUCUCAUUAAAGAUUUACCCUGCUCAGCGUUUAAUGAACCAGAGGGAGACAGGAGACACAUGGAAGAAGAGCAGGAAGGAAAGCCAGUGGGAGAGGAGACCAGAAAGUGUGUGAAAUACAAUGCCUGUAGGCGGAGUGAAGGCCUUUAACAGGGGAGAUGAAGCACACCUGUAACACCUGACUCACCUGCAUUUAACAGGGCUGCAAAAGGAAGGUUCCUGACGGAGUGAAAUGACCCACAAUCACCCAAGUGGCACCCAUGAUAAGAGCGGUUCGAAUUCUCUACAUGAUAGGAAAGGAGCUUUGAUACUUCCUUUAUAACCUCCUUUAGCUUAGGAAACACUGGACGUUGCUUUAGGAAAGGAAAGGAGAAAAUGCUGUCCCACAAUGCCUUGCAGUCGCAACAUUAAUCGUGACACACCAUUCGAACAAGUUAAGUUCAAUCAUGGUGACUUUGGUGAGAAAGUCCUCCUUCUUUG